This 497-nucleotide ribosomal RNA is filed under the name uncultured bacterium. Its description in RNAcentral is "partial 16S ribosomal RNA". It matches the Rfam family "Bacterial small subunit ribosomal RNA", at positions 28 to 507 of the family's 1533-position model. The record is from RNAcentral.
GAUGAACGCUGGCGGCGUGCCUAAUACAUGCAAGUCGAGCGAAGAGACGCGUUGCUUGCUGGUGUGAGUUUAGCGGUGGACAAGGGAGUAAUACGUGGUGAACCUACUGACACGAUCGGGAUGAUUUCGGGAAACAGGAGCGGCUACCGGGUAAUAUUCUGAAUCUCUCGGUUGAAGAGUGUAAGAAGGUUUUGGUGUCACUGAUGGAUGGGUCCGCGGCGCAUUAGCUUGUUGGUGGGGUAAUGGCGUACCAAGGCUACGAUGAGUAGCCGACCUGAGAGGGUGGUGGGCCACACUGAAAGGGCGACACGGUCGAGACGCCUACGGGGGGAGGCAGUAGGGAAGAUUCCGGAAUGAUGGAAAGCAGGACGGUGCAGCGCCGCGGGAGUGAUGAUGGUCGUCGGCUCGUAAAACUCUGUUAUUGGGGGAGAACAAAGGCUUAAGUGACUGUGCACGGCUUGACGGUACCUAAACAGAAAGCCACGGCUAACUACGUG